This 403-nucleotide ribosomal RNA is filed under the name uncultured bacterium. RNAcentral describes it as "partial 16S ribosomal RNA". It matches the Rfam family "Bacterial small subunit ribosomal RNA", at positions 28 to 526 of the family's 1533-position model. The record is from RNAcentral.
GACGAACGCUGGCGGCGUGCCUAAUACAUGCAAGUCGAACGCAGUGGGGACGGGCGAGUAACACGUGGGUAACCUCCCAUCAGAGGGGAUAACACUUGGAAACAGGUGCUAAACCGAUACUGAUGGAUGGACCCGCGGUGCAUUAGCUGGUUGGUGUGGUAACGGCUCACCAAGGCCACGGUGCAUAGCCGACCAGAGAGGGUGAACGAGAAUGCUGGGAAUGAGCCACGGCCAAGAGUCCAACGUGAGGCAGCAGUAGGGAAUCUUCGGCAAUGGACGAAAGUCUGACCGAGAAACGCCGCGUGAGUGAAGAAGGUUUUCGGAUCGUAAAACUCUGUUGUUAGAGAAGCGGGAUCUAACCAGAAAGCAACGGCUAACUACGUGCCAGCAGCCGCGGUAAUUC